This is a non-coding RNA of Perkinsus marinus ATCC 50983, 1064 nucleotides long. NCBI's taxonomy places the organism in Eukaryota, Perkinsozoa, Perkinsida, Perkinsidae. The record is from Rfam.
CCGCCGUUGCAUAUGCUGAUUGUAGGAUUGCUGCUCGCUCCUGUCUUCUGCUACUCAUUCACAGACCUGGUCGUGUUGAGCAGUUGUUUGGCAGAUGUUAGUGGUGUUUCCUACUUUCAGUCGUCAGCAUCACUGGCUGAGUGGAAAUAAUCCUUGGAUGCUAAUUGGUUCGCUAUCUGUGAAUUGGUUGCUUCCUUGCGAUACUCACUACUCGGUCAGUGAGGAAGUGCGUUUGCUGGUCAACGAGCUUUCUAACUGUCAUUACCCUGCGCUUUUCGAUUCGUCGAGUGGCCAGGAUGUGGCUUUGAGAUUGUUCGCACUUAGUAAUCGCGAUGCUGGCUUCCAACGGUUGCCUCCGGCCCGUCUUGAAACACGGACCAAGGAGUCUAACGUAUGUGCGAGUGUGUGAGUGGCAAACUUAUACGCGUAAUGAAAGUGAGGCCGUAUGGCCAUGUUGGGGUCACCAACAACCGACCUUGAUCUUCGGUGAAAGGUUUGAGUAUGAGCAUAUCCGUUAGGACCCGAAAGAUGGUGAACUAUGCCUGAGCAGGGUGAAGCCAGGGGAAACUCUGGUGGAGGCUCGUAGCGAUACUGACGUGCAAAUCGUUCGUCAGACUUGGGUAUAGGGGCGAAAGACUAAUCGAACCAUCUAGUAGCUGGUUCCCUCCGAAGUUUCCCUCAGGAUAGCUAGAGUCUUUAUCAGUUUUGUCAGGUAAAGCGAAUGAUUAGAGGUUCCGGGGAAGUAACUUCCUCGACCUAUUCUCAAACUUUAAAUGGGCAAGAUCCAGUAGUUACUUAAUUGAACUAUUGGGGUCAAUGAGACGACUCUAAGUGGGCCAUUUUUGGUAAGCAGAACUGGCGAUGAGGGAUGAACCUAACGCUCGGUUAAAGUGCUAAACUGCUCGCUCAUCAGAUACCACAAAAGGGUGUUGGUCGAUCUUAACAGCAGACGUGGUCAUGGAAGUCGAAAUCCGCUAAGAGUGUGUAACAACUCACCUGCCGAAUCGACUAGCCCCGAAAAUGGAUAGCGCUGAGCGAGUGACCGAUACCGGGCCAUUGUUGCA